AAAUUGAAGAGUUUGAUCAUGGCUCAGAUUGAACGCUGGCGGCAGGCCUAACACAUGCAAGUCGAGCGGAAACGAGUUAUCAGAACCUUCGGGGGACGAUAACGGCGUCGAGCGGCGGACGGGUGAGUAAUGCCUAGGAAAUUGCCCUGAUGUGGGGGAUAACCAUUGGAAACGAUGGCUAAUACCGCAUGAUGCCUACGGGCCAAAGAGGGGGACCUUCGGGCCUCUCGCGUCAGGAUAUGCCUAGGUGGGAUUAGCUAGUUGGUGAGGUAAGGGCUCACCAAGGCGACGAUCCCUAGCUGGUCUGAGAGGAUGAUCAGCCACACUGGAACUGAGACACGGUCCAGACUCCUACGGGAGGCAGCAGUGGGGAAUAUUGCACAAUGGGCGCAAGCCUGAUGCAGCCAUGCCGCGUGUGUGAAGAAGGCCUUCGGGUUGUAAAGCACUUUCAGUCGUGAGGAAGGUAGUGUAGUUAAUAGCUGCAUUACUUGACGUUAGCGACAGAAGAAGCACCGGCUAACUCCGUGCCAGCAGCCGCGGUAAUACGGAGGGUGCGAGCGUUAAUCGGAAUUACUGGGCGUAAAGCGCAUGCAGGUGGUUUGUUAAGUCAGAUGUGAAAGCCCGGGGCUCAACCUCGGAAUUGCAUUUGAAACUGGCAGACUAGAGUACUGUAGAGGGGGGUAGAAUUUCAGGUGUAGCGGUGAAAUGCGUAGAGAUCUGAAGGAAUACCGGUGGCGAAGGCGGCCCCCUGGACAGAUACUGACACUCAGA
This 771-nucleotide ribosomal RNA is filed under the name Vibrio parahaemolyticus. Its description in RNAcentral is "bacterial SSU rRNA". It matches the Rfam family "Bacterial small subunit ribosomal RNA", at positions 1 to 751 of the family's 1533-position model. Lineage: Bacteria; Pseudomonadati; Pseudomonadota; Gammaproteobacteria; Vibrionales; Vibrionaceae. The record is from RNAcentral.